CGAUUGAACGCUGGCGGCAUGCCUUACACAUGCAAGUCGAACGGUAACGGGCCUUCGGGUGCCGACGAGUGGCGAACGGGUGAGUAAUGCAUCGGAACGUACCUUUCAGUGGGGGAUAACGUAGCGAAAGCUACGCUAAUACCGCAUACGAUCUACGGAUGAAAGCGGGGGAUCGCAAGACCUCGCGCGAUUGGAGCGGCCGAUAUCAGAUUAGCUAGUUGGUGGGGUAAAAGCUCACCAAGGCGACGAUCUGUAGCUGGUCUGAGAGGACGACCAGCCACACUGGAACUGAGACACGGUCCAGACUCCUACGGGAGGCAGCAGUGGGGAAUUUUGGACAAUGGGCGAAAGCCUGAUCCAGCAAUGCCGCGUGCAGGACGAAGGCCUUCGGGUUGUAAACUGCUUUUGUACGGAACGAAAAAGUCUGCCCUAAUACGGUGGGCUCAUGACGGUACCGUAAGAAUAAGCACCGGCUAACUACGUG
This 484-nucleotide ribosomal RNA is filed under the name uncultured bacterium. RNAcentral's name for it is "bacterial SSU rRNA". It matches the Rfam family "Bacterial small subunit ribosomal RNA", at positions 27 to 507 of the family's 1533-position model. The record is from RNAcentral.